UACGUAGGGUGCAAGCGUUGUCCGGAAUUAUUGGGCGUAAAGAGCUCGUAGGCGGUCUGUCGCGUCGGCUGUGAAAUCCCGAGGCUCAACCUCGGGUCUGCAGUCGAUACGGGCAAACUGGAGUGUUGCAGGGGAGACUGGAAUUCCUGGUGUAGCGGUGAAAUGCGCAGAUAUCAGGAGGAACACCGGUGGCGAAGGCGGGUCUCUGGGCAACAACUGACGCUGAGGAGCGAAAGUGUGGGGAGCGAACAGG
This 253-nucleotide ribosomal RNA is filed under the name uncultured bacterium. RNAcentral's name for it is "partial 16S ribosomal RNA". It matches the Rfam family "Bacterial small subunit ribosomal RNA", at positions 524 to 776 of the family's 1533-position model. The record is from RNAcentral.